RNAcentral lists this ribozyme (66 nucleotides) under Aedes aegypti (yellow fever mosquito). Its description in RNAcentral is "drz-agam-1 ribozyme". It matches the Rfam family "drz-agam-1 ribozyme". The record is from Rfam by way of RNAcentral. Lineage: Eukaryota; Metazoa; Arthropoda; Insecta; Diptera; Culicidae.
UGCCCAGCAACUCCUAUCCCUACCUCCUAGUGGUACUGCCUGGGGUAUGAGUAACCUUAGGGAAGA